RNAcentral lists this transfer RNA (76 nucleotides) under SAR324 cluster bacterium. RNAcentral's name for it is "tRNA-Gly". It matches the Rfam family "tRNA". From Rfam's summary of the family: Transfer RNA (tRNA) molecules are approximately 80 nucleotides in length. Their secondary structure includes four short double-helical elements and three loops (D, anti-codon, and T loops). Further hydrogen bonds mediate the characteristic L-shaped molecular structure. tRNAs have two regions of fundamental functional importance: the anti-codon, which is responsible for specific mRNA codon recognition, and the 3' end, to which the tRNAs corresponding amino acid is attached (by aminoacyl-tRNA synthetases). tRNAs cope with the degeneracy of the genetic code in two manners: having more than one tRNA (with a specific anti-codon) for a particular amino acid; and 'wobble' base-pairing, i.e. permitting non-standard base-pairing at the 3rd anti-codon position. Lineage: Bacteria; Deltaproteobacteria. The record is from RNAcentral.
GCGAGAAUAGCUCAGCUGGUAGAGCGCAACCUUGCCAAGGUUGAGGUCGCGGGUUCGAAACCCGUUUCUCGCUCCA